CCAGCCUCUUCCCACUCGCUCACAAACGCUCCCGUAUUUCCUCCCGGCCCCAAGAGAAUGGUUCCGAGCUGUGCGGUAGGGCAGGGCCGCCAGGGACCGGGCCUGCGGGGCUCCCGGGCCUUUCAAAGCCUCUUGGAAGCUGGGCUGCGGCGCAGGGGCGGCCCGAGGCGCUGGGGCCCGGGCCAGGAGAAGGGGACGGGACGGGCCUGCCUGUGGUGCCUAGAAAUCAAAGCAGCCAACCUUGGGCUUUUUCUUCCCCUCACACUGAGGCACUUUUAUUGGCGAGAUGAAGGGAGGCAGAGCGGGCCUACAGUCCUCGCUUUGCUUUGGGAGGUUAAUGACCCAGUUAGCAGCUCUUGGCUGCGUUUCCGACAUUUUGCAGACAUCAAGCUCUGCGCCUCUGCCAAGUACAUUCUGUUCCCUGGAGCUCAUCCAGUGCAUCUCAGAUUACUAUGUAAUGCGACGAAGAGGGAGAGGUGGCUGGGCGGGGCGGAGAGCGGGCGGAGAGCGGGCGGGGGUGCGGGCUGCGGGCCGGCAGGCGGGGAGGGGGAUGCCGCCCUAAAUACAGCCGCCCUCCUGCGAGCGCAUCCCUGCAGGUGCUUAUUUAUGGCACCGGAGCGAACCCGAAGUGGGGGUUCGCCGGGCCCUGUCGUCCAGGAAUCCUGCGGGGUGGUGCGCCGAGCUCGGCCCAGACCCGGCCGGGACAGAGCGUGGGGGCGGGGAGGGCCGGAGAGGAGAGGGAGCUGGAAUUCGAGGGGCGGGGCUAGCGUGUCUUGGGGCGGGGUUAUGGGCUCUCGGCCCCGCCCCCAGGCCAUCUCCUCCAGUCCUCUAGGAGCUGCAGCCUGCGCGCUAAUUAUAGACGUGAAUGGAAAGCGGCGGCUUUUGAAUGAUUGCAUUGCUCGCGCUGCCUUUGGAGGCUGAGGAGCAGAUGGAGAAACUGAGGCUGGGGUAGCUCCUGGGGCAGGCCCUGGCCCAUGUGUGAGUCGUUGCAGCGAAGCUCAGAUCUCCGGAGGGACAGCCUCUCCAUUUGCCUUACCAGAAAAAAUGAGACAUGAAGAAAAUAAAGGAAAAUGUUACCAUCUGUUAAUCUAAUGAGCGGACCAUCACAUUUGUUAUAUCCUUUUUGUAUGAUUAUAUAUUUAAUAUUUUAAAAUAAAUAUAUAAAAUAGUGAAUGGACUUAAAAUCUAAUAUAUUUUAUUAGCAUUGAGUUUUUGUAGAAAAUCUGGGGAUUUUAUGGCUAAUAAUAGAGGAAAAUGAUGAAUUUUAAACGUUAUGGUGUUGGAUACCUGAUGUGAUACCUCUCAAGUGUAACAACAGGUCUCAUCCCAGUGAGAAUCGUAGAAGAUCUUUGCAGUAGGUUUGUAUACUGACAGCCUAUACGUGUGCCCUGGGAGGAGCGUGUCUGGAUUCUUCACACCAUUUAGCCACCAUUCCAAAACUUGGCUAGCCAAAAAAUAACAUUUGAAGAUAGG
Molecule: long non-coding RNA, 1473 nt
Filed under: Heterocephalus glaber (naked mole-rat)
Lineage: Eukaryota; Metazoa; Chordata; Mammalia; Rodentia; Bathyergidae
Description: lncRNA (ENSHGLG00100042292.1)
Source: RNAcentral